UCUGCACAAUAUAUGGCUGCAGUUUAAUCACCAGGGUAAAUUGCUGAAGCAUCUUUGUGGAAACUAUAAUGUUACUGUAGCAGUAUCUAACGCAGCACUGAUUCAGCUGUGAUGGCUAAUGCAGACAAUACAAUCCAUAAUCCUGUUAGCACUACUGCAUCUACUAAGUAGGACAAACCUCAAAAACUUCAACUGUGAUGGGCCAAAUCCAGACCUAGCGCAGGUUGACCACACGUUAUUCCUGAGAGCAGAAUCUAUAUGAAAGAUUAUCGGGGUUGAGGGACGAUCAACUAAUAUUUCCUGGUGUUGAGAGAGAAAGAAAAGUCUUAUGGGACACUUCCACAGUUCCACCCAUGGAGUCCUGCUCCUACCCUCUUCAGUGAAAGCAUCUCCUAGAGCCCAGGAAACGGAAAGUGGGACCCGCUAGACUGACACCUUUCAAUACUGCUUUCCAGUGAAGAGCCCUGAAAGCCAGGGACUGAGAUGGGCAGAAUGUGAGGGAGCCCACCUCUUUGGCCUAGGCUACUCCACGCAAUCUUGGAACAAGGAACUGCUGUCCAUGGUCCUGUGUAAAUGUAGGUGAAGAAGCAAUCAGUGCACUGGACCAUCACUGUUGGGAUGUGGAUUAAAUUCCUCCCUGGAAGACAUACUUGAAAUGAGUUCUUCUGGGCAUCAGCCUUUUCUUGGUGCAUUAGAUCCCUGCUUGGAGCCCUAGUGUGAAAUAUGUAUGGCUCAAGAUAUGAUUAUGGAGAUCUUCAAAGCCCCACGGUCCAGAGCCAAUGUCCGUUUAAGUUAAUGGGGAGACUCUCAUUGACUUUUGAUCAGGCUGCAAAUGUAGGAGAGAGACAAUUUCGCCUCCAGCAAUCAAGAGAGUCACACUUCAAGAUUCACCCUGAUUUCCUUAUGAAAGGUAAAAGAUCGUCCUUUUAGAGACACAGUGUGAAAACAAGGGGAAAAGUGCGUCUGAGGCCAGAUUGACACUAGGACCACUUUAUCAGGCUUACCCUCAUGUGCAGCUUUGCUGAAAAGAUGUUUCUACGCUUUGUUGCAGCUCGUGUGGCAGGCUAGUUUCACUAUCAUC
Mauremys mutica (yellowpond turtle) is the source of this 1081-nucleotide long non-coding RNA. RefSeq lists it as uncharacterized. NCBI's taxonomy places the organism in Eukaryota, Metazoa, Chordata, Testudines, Geoemydidae. The transcript is spliced from 7 exons. The record is from RefSeq and is a predicted model, not a curated record.